Molecule: ribosomal RNA, 410 nt
Filed under: uncultured bacterium
Lineage: Bacteria
Description: bacterial SSU rRNA
Rfam family: Bacterial small subunit ribosomal RNA
Source: RNAcentral
AAUGGGGGAAACCCUGAUCCAGCCAUCCCGCGUGUGCGAUGAAGGCCUUCGGGUUGUAAAGCACUUUUGGCAGGAAAGAAACGUCGCGGGUUAAUACCCCGCGGAACUGACGGUACCUGCAGAAUAAGCACCGGCUAACUACGUGCCAGCAGCCGCGGUAAUACGUAGGGUGCAAGCGUUAAUCGGAAUUACUGGGCGUAAAGCGUGCGCAGGCGGUUCGGAAAGAAAGAUGUGAAAUCCCAGAGCUUAACUUUGGAACUGCAUUUUUAACUACCGGGCUAGAGUGUGUCAGAGGGAGGUGGAAUUCCGCGUGUAGCAGUGAAAUGCGUAGAUAUGCGGAGGAACACCGAUGGCGAAGGCAGCCUCCUGGGAUAACACUGACGCUCAUGCACGAAAGCGUGGGGAGCAAA